GUUUAGAUCAGGUAGGUACAAGCAUCUAAAAUACAUAUACAACAAUAACACUCUCAACUAGCAUCAAUCUAAUCUAAGGUCUAAUGUCAAUAAUGAUAUCUACUCAUUAUCAAUCCUCUAUCCACAUGAUCAACCGUUGGCUUUGAACUAUGAAAAACAAACAAGCUACUUAAAAGUUGCAGACUUUAAAAAUAAAAAACCUCAAAACCUGUCAAGCCUCUUACAUCAUUCUUCGUAAAAGACGAAAAGUAAGCAUUGUAAAUACGUUGACGUUUUAUUUUUUAGCUAAUCACAACAAUACUACUAACGUAUCACAAGGAGAACAAACUAAAGAUAUCAUAUUCCACAGAGGAGUGUCCUCUACUUCCUGUUUCUGAUACUGACUCUGGGCUACUGUAACUGCUGUUAUCUCUACUGUCCAGACUCAGUCAGGUCCAGGUUGAUACUCUACUGUCCAGACUCAGUCAGGUCCAGGUUGGUACUCUACUCUACUGUCCAGACUCAGUCAGGUCCAGGUUGAUACUCUACUCUACUGUCCAGACUCAGUCAGGUCCAGGUUGAUACUCUACUGUAUCUGCUGUUAUCUCUACUGUCCAGACUCAGUCAGGUCCAGGUUGGUACUCUACUCUACUGUCCAGACUCAGUCAGGUCCAGG
This is a long non-coding RNA of Oncorhynchus tshawytscha (Chinook salmon), 655 nucleotides long. NCBI's taxonomy places the organism in Eukaryota, Metazoa, Chordata, Actinopteri, Salmoniformes, Salmonidae. The record is from Ensembl.